Colobus angolensis palliatus is the source of this 113-nucleotide unclassified non-coding RNA. It matches the Rfam family "Y RNA". From Rfam's summary of the family: Y RNAs are components of the Ro ribonucleoprotein particle (Ro RNP), in association with Ro60 and La proteins. The Y RNAs and Ro60 and La proteins are well conserved, but the function of the Ro RNP is not known. In humans the RNA component can be one of four small RNAs -- hY1, hY3, hY4 and hY5. The record is from Ensembl. NCBI's taxonomy places the organism in Eukaryota, Metazoa, Chordata, Mammalia, Primates, Cercopithecidae.
GGCAGGUCUGAAAGUAGCAAGUUAUCUCGAUUGUUCACAGUCAGUUACAGAUCACAUGAACUCCUUGUUUCACUCUUUCCCUCUUUCCCACUAUUGCACUUGACUAGUCUUUA